This 695-nucleotide long non-coding RNA is filed under the name Helianthus annuus (common sunflower). Its description in RNAcentral is "hypothetical non coding rna". Lineage: Eukaryota; Viridiplantae; Streptophyta; Magnoliopsida; Asterales; Asteraceae. The record is from RNAcentral.
UAAAGUGCAUGCUUAAUUAUCGGAAGAAAUAAAAUCAAGAAGUUGUUAACUCAAUCCUGCAUGCUGAUUUGUAAUUACAGUAGAUUGGAGUAAGGAUUGGAUCCGGCACUAAAAGACUUCAAGAAGUGGCUUAUUUUAUUAAUUAAAUCAAAUUAAGAAAUAUUGUUUUUUUUUUAUUAAAAGCUACCUUUGUAAAACAUGGAAUUUAUUCCAUCUAUUUAAAUAAAAUCCGGUGUUUCUAAACUCUGAUAUUUUGCCUAACUCAUGGUCCUGAUGAAAUUUCCGCUGCAAUGUUUUUCAAAAUAAUCACCGGUACCACUGGACUGAUCGCGACUUCCGAUUCCGGCCAGGAUGGGAUCGGGGGUCGUGUCACGGAACAUCCAAUAUAUGUGAAGAGGAAGGACAUUAUGAAAAGAUCACAUCAUCAUUAAAGAAGUGGCCACGACUGCAAACAACAAAAGAAAUAGACAUAUUGAAUUGUGGCGUACGGAUUCAACAUGGGACUUACGGCGCGAAACAAAAGCAUGCACGUGAUUUUUUUAGGUGGACUUCUUGGACUCUCGAUAUUGGGCAGCCAUAAUUAAUAAUUGUGGGCUCUCAAAACAAAACAACAUCACCAUCCUUCAUCAUGAUUUAUUAGAGGCCACAUAACACACUAGGUGGGCUUUUAGUGAAUAAUUAACAUCAUCAUUGUU